GUGAGGGAAAGUCUGUUAGAAGUUUGCUAUAAUAUAGGUUGAGAAUAGCCACAUAAGCAAGCAAAUUGAGAGUAAAAGAGAGUCUAGGUAUUGGUGUUCAACUUGCAUUUCUUUGUAAUUCCUUUUGAAUUCAAUAAAAUUCUCUAUUUUGCUCUUCUUCUAAUUGGGAACUUAACAAUUGGUACCAGAGCAACCGAUUCUGAUGGCCCAAAGGAAGAUAGAAAUCAAAGUAGAAGCAAUGGAGGAGAAGAAGCUGAAGGAAUUGAAAAUAGAACUUCAAUGCUUACCUAGAGUAGAAAGAGUAGUGGAGCACUUAAUCCAGAGUAUGGCCAAGAUGACACAAUCACCAGAGGCAAUUCAAAAAGAUGUGGCGUCACUUAUUAAUCCAAAGGUAGCCACAAAUCGGGUACUCAAAGGAGAUAGAUCCAGAAACGUUAUGGAAGGGAAGCUACUUCUGAGCAUCAACUAGGAACCCUUGGUGGAUCAACGAGCACAAGACAAAGGAAAAUGGCUAGAAGAAAUAGGAGAGACCAAUACUGGAGGAAUUACAGUCACCUCUAUCGGAAUAGAGGUGGUGAUGAUUGCCGACGUGUUUGGAAACACGAGAUGCUGAAACUCUUAGUUUCCCAACUGUAGGCUUCUGAACAAGGAUUGCUAAUCAAGUCGGAGAAGAUGAUGGCGUUGACUAACAAAAGGGGGGAGAAAAGAUGUUAGUGGGCUGAUAAUGAUGCCUAAAUUUCAUAUGGGAAAACCUGUGGGCUUGGCCUUGGAGAGGAUCCAAUCAAUAGAAGGCAAAGGUCUAGUAAUUAG
RNAcentral lists this long non-coding RNA (810 nucleotides) under Olea europaea (common olive). Its description in RNAcentral is "long non-coding RNA (OEUR_LNC001256)". The record is from RNAcentral. Lineage: Eukaryota; Viridiplantae; Streptophyta; Magnoliopsida; Lamiales; Oleaceae.